AUAUCUUAAGACUCGGAGCCACACUGGUUAAGGAAUAAUGAAGACUUUGGCACUGCCCCAGCCCCUCCCCCUUCCCUUCCUUAAUUUUCUCCACUACCUCCACAUCUCCUCUUUCCAACUCUACAUUUGUUAAUGGGUUUUGUUCUCUUUCUCCCACAAAAAAAAAUCAUGCUCCACAUAGGCAAGGGUUUUGCUCUGCGUUUCUCUCUGCCGAAUUCCAGAUCCCAGUGGAUGCUCAAAAAAACACAGGUGGAGGGACAUCUGAGCACUUCCUCCUCUUGUUCUUUUUCUGCCGUUUUGUCUACUGUGAGGGGGGUGGGGAGGCUUGCCUGGGACAGAGCAUCUGGGUCCACUCAAGAGACUCUGCUUUCCUCUUGUGCCUUUAGCAGACAGAUGACGCAGCACCACCGGACGGCCAGCCCCAGACGCAGCCUUCUGAAAACACAGAAAACAAGUCUCAGCCCAAGCGCCU
RNAcentral lists this long non-coding RNA (472 nucleotides) under Marmota monax (woodchuck). The record is from RNAcentral. Lineage: Eukaryota; Metazoa; Chordata; Mammalia; Rodentia; Sciuridae.